This is a long non-coding RNA of Manis pentadactyla (Chinese pangolin), 943 nucleotides long. RefSeq lists it as uncharacterized. NCBI's taxonomy places the organism in Eukaryota, Metazoa, Chordata, Mammalia, Pholidota, Manidae. The record is from RefSeq and is a predicted model, not a curated record. The transcript has 3 exons.
UAUGUCCCAACUUCUUGCCAUUAUGCUGUUUCCUUGGUGAAAUGCAGGCGUUUAUUUGAAAGUGAUUAAUGAAAGAUGAAUUGCAAUAUCACUACUUGCAGCGACAACAUUUGGAAACUGAUGGUGCCCACAGAUGAAGUCAGUAAAGGAGUGCCUCUGAAACCCUUUGAGCUUUUUUAUGUCACUUCAGUGUCCACCUUGUGUGUCUUUGCAACAUGGGGAGAGAAGGUGGUGAGUGCUGUUCGCUAGUGUGAGAAUAAGGCGAGAGCACAGGGUGCAGAGGUCCCACGGUGGGUACCAGAGCAGUGCUUUCCGCAGUGGCCACACACUGCAGUCACCUGGGACACUUUGAAAACUCUGGAAGCCCAGUCUAUACCCCAAGCAAUUAGGUCACAGUCUCAGGUGGGUCAAACACAGAUAUUAGUAUAUUAGUAACUUAAUGUUUCCCAAGUAGUUAAAAUGUGAAGCUAAGUUUGAGAAUCACUACUUUAGAGGGGACUUUAAACCUUAAUUUUGAAGAUUUAAGAUAGAGUUUUUUGAGAGAGGACUGUAUUUUGAGAUAAAUCUAGGAGAGGCUUUGGGGUGAAAAGAUGUUUGGGGCUAAACUUCUCAUUCUUUGUUUGAGAACUGAGGCCAAGAGAGGUUAAAUGAUUUGCCUCAGAUCCUUCUGAAUCAGUGAAACAGUGAUCGUGGGUAUCUUGCCUUCUGUGUGUUAAGCAUCCCUUAGCCUUAGCUUUCUUAGGUCUGGUUCAAAAACAAUGAUCUAGAAUAUCUUAGACGCAGGGGAGAACUAGUGAGUAUCAAAUGAAAUAAUGUGUGAGAAAGUCCUUCAUAAAUUACAGAGCAUUAUCCAAAGCAAAGACUUUAUAUUAAAGAUAUGAGAGAUGAGCCUAGAAGUCAGUGAAGGAAGUGAAAACAAUUCAACCCAAGGCUCUGAACUGAA